ACUUAACUUUACUUUAAUUAUAUAAAAACUAUUAUUUAAAAUUGAUUAUGGAAAUUAAAGAUAAUCCAGUUCUUAACUUUUAUCAAUUAUAAAAAAAUAAAAUAAGUUAUUAAAAAUUAUUUUAGGUUUAUUAGGUGCCAGCAACCGCGGUCAUACCUAAUAAAAAAAUAGGUAAAUUUUAGAUUUUUUAUAAAAAAAAUUGUAAAAUAUUUAUAUUUUAGUGAAAUAAUAAAAAUAAAUAGUAAUUUUAUUACAAUUUUUUUUUUAAAGGAAAAAUUAACUAGAAACUAGGAUUAGAUACCCUACUAUUUUUUAAUAAGGAUAAAAAAGUUGAGUAUUAAAUUUAUUUAAAAAAAUAAAACUCAAAAAGUAUGGCAGUAAUUCUUAACUUUAGGGGAACUUACCAUUUAAUAGAUAGUCAACAAGAAUCUAAUAACUAAAAUUUUGUUUGUAUGCCGUCGUUUACUUACAAAUUUAAUUUGUAAGCAAAUAAAAUAUUUUUUUAGUACAUCAGAUCAAGGUGCAGCAUUUUCAGUAUAUAGGCGAGUUACAAUAAAAAUUUUUUUUUCUUAUUUAAUUUAAUAAUAAGAUGGACUUAAAAGUAAUAUAUUAAAAAAUAAAUCAAAUAAAUUAAUUUAUUUAAUGAAUAAUUUUAUUAAUUGUGCACAAAUCGCCCGUCGUUCUCAAAGAUAUAUAUAUUUUAUAUAAAAAUUUGAGACAAGUCGUAACAUAGUAGAAAUAGUGGAAACUGUUUCUGUUUAAGU
Molecule: non-coding RNA, 764 nt
Filed under: Succinea erythrophana
Lineage: Eukaryota; Metazoa; Mollusca; Gastropoda; Stylommatophora; Succineidae
Source: RNAcentral